CCUGGACCAGCUCAGAACAAUAACCCCCACCAAUGUCUCAGUCUCCGGAGAGGAUCCUCCUCUCACCAACAUGCCCCCAGAGCCCACCAGGGAGAAAUAGAGAACUGGCAGUUUUUUCCCUGAUCACAUCACACUGAAGUGGAGGGAAGGACUAUGGAACAUGGAACUGGAUGUGUGUAUAUGUGUAUCCAAGAAACAAGAAUUGCAAAGAUUUUAACGAUCACCAACAGUAUUGGGACUGCUAAUUGAAGAGGAACUGACAUCAAGCCAAAAAGUAAGAAAGAGAAAAUAUUUUUUUUAAAGAAAAUAAUCAGUUUUGGAUUAUUAGUCUUAGAAAAAAAACAAGGGAUUCUGUGUAUUCGAAGCAAAAAAAAAAAAAAAAAGGACCAGUAGUGAGAGAGAGAGAAAGAGACAGAGACAAGAGUUAG
RNAcentral lists this long non-coding RNA (428 nucleotides) under Equus caballus (horse). Its description in RNAcentral is "lncRNA (ENSECAG00000059370.1)". The record is from RNAcentral. Lineage: Eukaryota; Metazoa; Chordata; Mammalia; Perissodactyla; Equidae.